This 301-nucleotide ribosomal RNA is filed under the name uncultured bacterium. RNAcentral's name for it is "partial 16S ribosomal RNA". It matches the Rfam family "Bacterial small subunit ribosomal RNA", at positions 509 to 807 of the family's 1533-position model. The record is from RNAcentral.
CAGUAGCCGCGGGAAUACGGAGGGUGCAAGCGUUAAUCGGAAUUACUGGGCGUAAAGCGCACGCAGGCGGUUUGUUAGGUCAGAUGUGAAACCCCCGAGCUUAACUUGGGAACUGCAUUUGAAACUGGCAAGCUAGAGUCUUGUAGAGGGGGGUAGAAUUCCAGGUGUAGCGGUGAAAUGCGUAGAGAUCUGGAGGAAUACCGGUGGCGAAGGCGGCCCCCUGGACAAAGACUGACGCUCAGGUGCGAAAGCGUGGGGAGCAAACAGGAUUAGAUACCCCGGUAGUCCCUGUCUCUUAUAC